This 465-nucleotide ribosomal RNA is filed under the name uncultured bacterium. Its description in RNAcentral is "partial 16S ribosomal RNA". It matches the Rfam family "Bacterial small subunit ribosomal RNA", at positions 338 to 795 of the family's 1533-position model. The record is from RNAcentral.
CCUACGGGGGGCAGCAGUAGGGAAUAUUCCACAAUGGGCGAAAGCCUGAUGGAGCAACGCCGCGUGGGUGAAGAAGGUCUUCGGAUCGUAAAACCCUGUUGUUAGAGAAGAAAGUGCGUGAGAGUAACUGUUCACGUUUCGACGGUAUCUAACCAGAAAGCCACGGCUAACUACGCGCCAGCAGCCGCGGUAAUACGUAGGUGGCAAGCGUUAUCCGGAUUGAUUGGGCGUAAGGGGAACGCAGGCGGUCUUUUAAGUCUGAUGUGAAAGCCUUCGGCUUAACCGGAGUAGUGCAUUGGAAACUGGCAGACUUGAGUGCAGAAGAGGAGAGUGGAACUCCAUGUGUAGCGGUGAAAUGCGUAGAUAUAUGGAAGAACACCAGUGGCGAAGGCGGCUCUCUGGUCUGUAACUGACGCUGAGGUUCGAAAGCGUGGGUAGCAAACAGGAUUAGAUACCCCAGUAGUC